Molecule: long non-coding RNA, 515 nt
Filed under: Daucus carota (carrot)
Lineage: Eukaryota; Viridiplantae; Streptophyta; Magnoliopsida; Apiales; Apiaceae
Description: long non-coding RNA (DCAR_LNC006306)
Source: RNAcentral
CUCCGUUUCUUCGUUUCUCGCUCGUUCUCGCGUGCAUGUCCUUCCUCGCUUCUAGUACCACUUCCGUAGGUGAUCACGGUUGCAUUUAGCAUAUGCAACAAGCCCUUUAAACCCCUAGAUAGCUCUAGUGGACGAGUGUGCUCUCGUGAGGGUUUGUAGAAGAUAUACCCACAAAAUCCCAAGUCGCGGUGAAUCCACAAUUCUCUAUUCUUGCAAAUAAUGCACCAAAACCAACCUAAAAUGAUAGAAAAUCACUUCAUCACCUCAACUCGUGACCUGCACAGAAAAACAAUAAAAACACAUCAAAAGACACUAAACACUUAAGUACAACCAACCAAUUUAAGUGGAAAUGAAGGCCUAUAAGUGUGUAUAAAUACCACUUAUCACACCCCCAAACUUAAACUGAUGCUUGUCCUCAAGCGUCAACGACACUAUACAAUAAUACAAUGCAAUGCAUGAAUGCAACUACGUGAUGAAUGAGUGAACUAUGAAGUAAUUGCCUUGCCAAUUAUAAU